CCACACCAAAGGGAAUAAUAAGGGAGAUAAGAGACGAGAUGCGCAAGAUUCAUGGUUCAGAUUCCACAUACACAUCAUAGGUGGUCUCCAAACAGCUACGCUUCGAUUGAUCAUUCCCCAUCUACAUAUAUCAAAGGCUAUCUCAAAACACAAUCAUUUAAGAUCACCAGCUAAAAACCUGUGCAAUCUACCAUUAACCUCAAUCAUGCUACAACCAACUGUUUUACUAAUCCCUGCAUCAUUCAUCACAGCCCUCCAUCAUGGAUUUUAUAUGAUUUUAUAUAUUAAGAAGGUUUUUGUUAGAUUUGUGCUUUAGUAGGAGUUUAAAACAUAAUUCCUGCUAUGUUCUUGGAAAUUGGUACAGGAAAAAAAAGAUGGCGUGGACAGAAGACCAGACCAUUUCUUAAAGGAAGCGCUCCUGCCCAAUUAGCAUUUUUUGCAAGCUGAAUACCCUAUGUGUGCAUCUGCAGCAUAUCACAUGCACAGCCAUGAAAUCCUACCUGAUCACCUAAGAAGAAGAUGCCCAUGAAUUUUUAAGGUAUGCUAUUGAUACAAUGCAAUUUGUGUGCCUUAAGGAAGCUGGUGCAAAUGCAACAGACCCUUUGGCAGGGGAAACUACUCUUAUACAACUGAUUUUCGGGGGUUACCUUCGAUCUAAGGUGCGUGAAAUGCCAAGGCAAGUCUGAGAAGCAUGAACGGAUGAUGGAUCUAACUGUUGAGAUACAUGGUGAUAUUGGAACUCUUGAAGAAGCACUUGCACAAUUUACGGCUACUGAAAUCUUGGAUGGUGACAAUAAAUACCACUGUAGCAGGUUGUUUGGUGCUUGUCUGUUUUGACUUAAAGAUGUAUAUUGUAGUCAAUAGGUGCCAGGAAUGACAUAAUGCCAAUCAUCAUUGUCUAAACCUUAUCCCGACUAAUUGGGUUUGGCUACAUGAAUCUUGUUUUGCCAUUCACUCGAUCAAGGACCAUAUCGUCAGUUAAACUGUAGGUGUAGGAGAAUCUUCCCAUGGUGGGGCUGAUUUUGUAGCCAUGGACACAAAGAAGAGGGGGUGGGAAGGUGGGCCAGAAGCAGCCAGUUCAUAGGAAGUCCAUUGAUACAUUUGGGCUGAGAACAUCACAGUAUAGAGGUGUUACAAGGUUAGUAGGAGCCCUCUUUCUCUCUUCUUGUUUUUUGGUUGAGUUUUUUGAACAAAGGAAUUGCAUUUAUUUACGAUACGCAUCUGAAAUCUUCUAAAGGGCUUCUUUUUUUUUUUUUUUUCUUUUGGUAGUGGUGGUUUCUUUGUUUGUUGAAGAUUUCUCCGUGUCCGUAGGCGAUAUUUUAUAAGAUAGAGAGACGAAGGGACGGAGAUAAUGAUAGGAGAAAAUGGAGUAAAGAAAUAGUUGGUUUUUCCUCUAUCGCGAUUUAGGUGCAGCAUCUGUCGCCGCCCUCGGAGGCCCACAAGAUGAGUGUUUCAAUCAUCGGAACCAUUCAUGUUCUAGAAUGUAUGAUAAAUGAGCCAGAUUAAGAAACUUGCACAGAAUGAGUGUUUGUGACUAUCCAUGUCUAAUUUUGAGUUUAGAACAAUGAAAAAAUGAUUUUCAAUUGGUCGCAUUUAACUCCAAAACUCAGGAAGUGGAUUGCGUCCUG
Molecule: long non-coding RNA, 1628 nt
Organism: Magnolia sinica
Lineage: Eukaryota; Viridiplantae; Streptophyta; Magnoliopsida; Magnoliales; Magnoliaceae
Exons: 5
Source: RefSeq, a predicted model, not a curated record